RNAcentral lists this transfer RNA (77 nucleotides) under Mycolicibacterium sp. TY66. RNAcentral describes it as "tRNA-Arg". It matches the Rfam family "tRNA". Rfam says of the family: Transfer RNA (tRNA) molecules are approximately 80 nucleotides in length. The record is from RNAcentral. RNAcentral also lists the same sequence under 2 other names. Lineage: Bacteria; Bacillati; Actinomycetota; Actinomycetes; Mycobacteriales; Mycobacteriaceae.
GCCCCUGUAGCUCAAGCGGAUCAGAGCGUCGCCAUCCGGCGGCGAAGGCUGGCGGUUCGAGUCCGUCCAGGGGCACC